GAUCAGCACGCCGCGGUGAAUACGUUCCCGGGCCUUGUACACACCGCCCGUCACACCACGAGAGUUUGUAACACCCGAAGUCGGUGAGGUAACCUUUUGGAGCCAGCCGCCUAAGGUGGGAUAGAUGAUUGGGGUGAAGUCGUAACAAGGUAGCCGUAUCGGAAGGUGCGGCUGGAUCACCUCCUUUCUAAGGAA
This 195-nucleotide ribosomal RNA is filed under the name Enterococcus faecium. Its description in RNAcentral is "partial 16S ribosomal RNA". It matches the Rfam family "Bacterial small subunit ribosomal RNA", at positions 1347 to 1533 of the family's 1533-position model. Lineage: Bacteria; Bacillati; Bacillota; Bacilli; Lactobacillales; Enterococcaceae. The record is from RNAcentral.